AACCGCCGGUGUAAGGGUGAAAUCUGUGGAUAUCGGCAGGAACGCCAGCGGAGAAGUCGGCUCUCCGGUCCAUUCCUGACGCUCAGGGACGAAAGCUAGGGGAGCGAACAGGAUUAGAUACCCUGGUAGUCCUAGCUGUAAACGAUGGGCACUAGAUGCUUGUUCUUUUGGAUGGGUGUCGUAGCUAACGCGUUAAGUGCCCCACCUGGGGACUACGGUCGCAAGACUAAAACUCAAAGGAAUUGACGGGGGCCUGCACAAGCGGUGGAACACGUGGUUUAAUUCGAUGUUACGCGAGGAACCUUACCAGGGCUUGACAUGCUGGAAGUAGCCACCCGAAAGGAUUGGCCACCUGUAACCAAUCAGGAACCAGUGCAGGUGCUGCAUGGCUGUCGUCAGCUCGUGCCGUGAGGUGUUCCCUUAAGUGGGAAAACGAGCGCAACCCUCGUCCUUAGUUGCUAGUUUCGAGUAAUCGGAACGCACUCUAAGGAGACUGCCCGCGUUAAGUGGGAGGAAGGUGAGGAUGACGUCAAGUCCGCAUGGCCCUUAUGCCCUGGGCUACACACGUGUUACAAUGGCGCAUACAAUGGGGGGCUAAGCCGUAAGGUGGAGCAAAUCCUAUAAAGUGUGCCUCAGUUCGGAUUGAGGGCUGCAAUUCGCCCUCAUGAAGCUGGAAUCGCGUAGUAAUGGCACAUCAGC
This 699-nucleotide ribosomal RNA is filed under the name uncultured bacterium. Its description in RNAcentral is "bacterial SSU rRNA". It matches the Rfam family "Bacterial small subunit ribosomal RNA", at positions 665 to 1353 of the family's 1533-position model. The record is from RNAcentral.